RNAcentral lists this ribosomal RNA (487 nucleotides) under uncultured bacterium. RNAcentral describes it as "bacterial SSU rRNA". It matches the Rfam family "Bacterial small subunit ribosomal RNA", at positions 28 to 507 of the family's 1533-position model. The record is from RNAcentral.
GAUGAACGCUAGCGGCAGGCCUAACACAUGCAAGUCGAGGGGUAACAUAGAAAAGCUUGCUUUUCUGAUGACGACCGGCGCACGGGUGCGUAACGCGUAUACAACCUACCUUUUAGCGGGGAAUAGCCCAGGGAAACUUGGAUUAAUGCCUCAUAGUAUAUAAGCUUCUCCUGAAGUUUAUAUUAAACAUUUAUGGCUAUUAGAUGGGUAUGCGUCCUAUUAGUUAGUUGGUAAGGUAACGGCUUACCAAGGCAGCGAUAGGUAGGGGUCCUGAGAGGGAGAUCCCCACACUGGUACUGAGACACGGACCAGACUCCUACGGGAGGCAGCAGUGAGGAAUAUUGGACAAUGGGCGAGAGCCUGAUCCAGCCAUGCCGCGUGCAGGAAGACUGCCCUAUGGGUUGUAAACUGCUUUUACAGAGGAAGAACCACCCCCACGUGUGGGGGUUUGACGGUACUCUGCGAAUAAGGAUCGGCUAACUCCGUG